RNAcentral lists this transfer RNA (93 nucleotides) under Pseudogymnoascus sp. VKM F-4518 (FW-2643). The record is from Rfam by way of RNAcentral. Lineage: Eukaryota; Fungi; Ascomycota; Leotiomycetes; Thelebolales; Thelebolaceae.
UCCCUCGUGGCGCAAUUGGCUAGCGCGUUCGACUGUUACCAGUAUAUUCUGCUCGCAAUCGAGAGGUUGGUGGUUCAAGCCCACCCGAGGGAG